GACGAACGCUGGCGGCGUGCUUAACACAUGCAAGUCGAACGGAAAGGCCCUGCUUGCAGGGUACUCGAGUGGCGAACGGGUGAGUAACACGUGGGUGAUCUGCCCUGCACUUCGGGAUAAGCCUGGGAAACUGGGUCUAAUACCGGAUAGGAGCCAUUUUUAGUGUGAUGGUUGGAAAGUUUUUUCGGUGUAGGAUGAGCUCGCGGCCUAUCAGCUUGUUGGUGGGGUAAUGGCCUACCAAGGCGGCGACGGGUAGCCGGCCUGAGAGGGUGGACGGCCACAUUGGGACUGAGAUACGGCCCAGACUCCUACGGGAGGCAGCAGUGGGGAAGAUUGCACAAUGGGCGCAAGCCUGAUGCAGCGACGCCGCGUGGGGGAUGACGGCCUUCGGGUUGUAAACUCCUUUCGCUAGGGACGAAGCUUUUUGUGACGGUACCUAGAUACGAAGCACCGGCUAACUACGUG
Molecule: ribosomal RNA, 465 nt
Filed under: uncultured bacterium
Lineage: Bacteria
Description: partial 16S ribosomal RNA
Rfam family: Bacterial small subunit ribosomal RNA
Source: RNAcentral